RNAcentral lists this ribosomal RNA (606 nucleotides) under uncultured bacterium. RNAcentral describes it as "bacterial SSU rRNA". The stretch from base 1 to 522 matches the Rfam family "Bacterial small subunit ribosomal RNA", at positions 338 to 873 of the family's 1533-position model. The record is from RNAcentral.
CCUACGGGAGGCAGCAGUGGGGAAUCUUGUGCAAUGGACGAAAGUCUGACACAGCCACGCCGCGUGCGGGAAGAAGGCCUUCGGGUUGUAAACCGCUUUCAGCAGGAACGAAAAUGACGGUACCUGCAGAAGAAGAUGCGGCCAACUACGUGCCAGCAGCCGCGGUGAUACGUAGGCAUCAAGCGUUGUCCGGAUUUAUUGGGCGUAAAGAGCUCGUAGGCGGUUCAGCAAGUCGGGUGUGAAAACUCUGGGCUUAACCCAGAGCCUGCACUCGAAACUGCUGUGACUAGAGUUCGGUAGGGGAGCAGGGAAUUCCUAGUGUAGCGGUGAAAUGCGCAGAUAUUAGGAGGAACACCAAUGGCGAAGGCACUGCUCUGGGCCGAUACUGACGCUGAGGAGCGAGAGCGUGGGUAGCAAACAGGAUUAGAUACCCUGGUAGUCCACGCCGUAAACGAUGGGCACUAGGUGUGGGUCUCUAACCAACGAGAUCUGCGCCGUCGCUAACGCAUUAAGCGCCCCGCGUGGGGAGGUACGGUCGCGAGACGAACGUACGAAGAGUAGUACGACGUCGAGAGACGACGACGACGACGACGACGGAGGAGGAGG